RNAcentral lists this ribosomal RNA (459 nucleotides) under uncultured bacterium. Its description in RNAcentral is "partial 16S ribosomal RNA". It matches the Rfam family "Bacterial small subunit ribosomal RNA", at positions 338 to 795 of the family's 1533-position model. The record is from RNAcentral.
CCUACGGGAGGCAGCAGUGAGGAAUAUCGGUCAAUGGCCGGAAGGCUGAACCAGCCAAGCCGCGUGAAGGACGAAGGUGCCAAGCAUUGUAAACUUCUUUUGUCAAGGGACAAAAUGAGGCUCGAGAGCCUGACCGAGGGUACUUGAAGAAAAAGCAUCGGCUAACUCCGUGCCAGCAGCCGCGGUAAUACGGAGGAUCCGAGCGUUAUCCGGAUUUAUUGGGUUUAAAGGGAGCGUAGGCGGGUUGUUAAGUCAGCGGUAAAAGCCCGGGGCUCAACCCCAGCGAGCCGUUGAAACUGGCUGUCUUGAGAUGUCUAGAGGUAUGCGGAAUGCGCAGUGUAGCGGUGAAAUGCUUAGAUAUCACGAAGAACUCCGAUUGCGAAGGCAGCCUACUAAACUGCCACUGACAUUGAUGCUCGAAAGUGUGGGUAUCAAACAGGAUUAGAUACCCUUGUAGUC